CUUCUUAUUACACCUUCUAACGCAAUGUUUAACAGCAAGCACGAAAGACCAUCACCUUGUCGUAACCCUCUGCGAGAUUCGAAGGGACUCGAGAGUGUCCCUGAUACUCGAACUACGCACAUCACUCGAUCCAUCGUCGCCUUGAUCAAUCGUAUCAGUUUAUCCGGGAAUCCGUAUUCGUGCAUAAUCUGCCAUAGCUGGUCUCGAUCGAUUGUAUCAUACGCCGAUUUGAAAUCGAUGAACAAGUGAUGUGUGGGCACGUUGUAUUCGCGACAUUUCUGCAACACCUGGCGAAUGGCGAACGAACAUCUGGUCCGUUGUAGCGCGUUCACCCAUAAAUCCAGCCUGAUAUUGCCCCACCAACUAUCUUGCAAUCGGUGAUAGACGGCGGCAUAAAAUUUGAGAGAGUACCUUGUAGGUAGCGCUCAGUAGUGUGAUCGCGCAGUAGUUCCCGCAAUCCAACUUGUCGCCCUUUUUGUGGAUGGGACACACGAUACCUUCCAUCCAUUCCUCCGGUAAUACUUCCUCCUCUCAAAUCUUGGUAAUGACCCAGUGUAGUGCUCUCACCAGUGCUUCUCCACCGUAUUUUAGAAGCUCGCUUGGUAGUUGAUCUGCUACAGCGGCUUUGUUGUUUUUCAACCGGCCAACCUCCUCCUCAAUCUCUUGGAGGUCAGGUAACGGAAGUCUUUCGUCCUGUGCACAUACUCCAAGAUCUGUUACCACGCCACUUUCGGUACUUGCAACGUCGCCAUUGAGGUGCUCAUCGUAAUGCUGCCGUCACCUGUCGACCACCUCACGCUCGCUCGUGAGAAUAUUCCCGUGAUUAUCUCGGCACAUGUCGGCUUGUGGCACAAAGCCUCUGCGCGAGCGGUUCAGCUUCUCGUAGAACUUUCGUGUGUCCUUGGCGCGGUACAGCUCUUCCACCGCUUCGCGAUCUCGUUCUUCCUGCUGGCGCUUCUUCAUCCGGAAGACUGAGUUCUGCCUGUUCCGCGCCUGUUUGUAACGUGCCUCAUUCGCUCUCGUACGGUGUUGCAGCAUUCUCGCCCAUGCUGCAUUCUUCUCGUUUUUCAACUGUUCACAUUCGCCGUCGUACCAGUCGUUUCUGUGAUUCGGAGUCGCGAAGCCUAGUGCUGUAGCCGAGGUACUACCUAUGGCGGAUCGGAUGUCCCUCCAGCCAUGUUCAAGUGUAGCUGCGCCAAGCUGCUCUUCCGUUGGUAGGGCCACUGCUAACUGCUGCGCGUAGUCUUGAGCCACUUCUACGUUACGCAGCUGCUCUGCUGCUCGAUGUUGAGUCGCGGCGUUCGACUUCGACGCGUGGUGAUAACUGUCGGAAGUUUUGAGCGCAUGCAUACAGCUACUAAGUAGUGAUCCGAAUCUAUAUUCGCACUGCGGUAUGUGCGGACAUUGAUUAUAUCCGAGAAGAAUUUACCGUCGAUUAGAACGUGGUCGAUUUGGUUUUCUGUUUGAUGGUCGGGUGAUCUCCAGGUGGCUUUGUGUAUAUCUUUGCGGGGGAAGAAGGUGCUUCGGACUACCAUACCACGGGAGGCUGCAAAUUUCACGCAUCGCUGGCCGUUGUCAUUCGAUACGGCGUGCAGGCUGUGAGGCCCGAUUACCGGUCUGUACAUUUCCUCCCUUCCUACCUGCGCGUUCAUGUUGCCGACAACGAUUUUCACGUCACGCGGCGAGUAGUCAUCGUAUGUUUGCUCUAACUACGCGUAGAACGCUUCUUUCUCUUCAUUGGGUCUCCCCAAGCAGCACCUGCAACAUCAUCCAAAAUGUGGUUUUCUAUGCUUUGGUCUAAAAGAGUUGCAAUAAAAGCGCACACAACUUCCAUCUUGUCAGUUGAGUUGCAUUUAAACUCCGAAUAUCGUUAAGAUGCAGCUUUGUUUCAUAUGAAUUACAAAUAACAUCGAUUUAUGGAGGCGGAGCUUACAUAUUCCUCAAAAGUGGAAAUACAGUCAGCUUGCAUUAAAUGUGCUAUGUAACACACAUGAAACAUCUUACUCUGGUUUGUUUGUUCUGAUUAGGUUCCAAAUGUGUUGCGGAAAACUUGCGCGUCUUUUCAUUUUGACAGCUUUCUAACUUGUGACAAAGACGGUACAAUGAAGUAACGCGUAAGCUUUUAUGGUGCAUUGAGCAGCAAAUCUUUCACAAAGCUUCUGGUGUAGUGUGUAAGUUGAAGAAACGGCCCUUAACUCUCAACAUGCACAGCACAUGCUUGCGUUGAUCGGCUGCCACCCGAUCACACGUUGUCGCAUCUUGCCCAACACUAUAAAUCCUGUUCCCAGUUCAUUGAUGGUGCCACAGCUUUGGUAGAAGGUAGCCGCUCGAUGCCCGCUUUUCCACACUUUCUGUCCAGUCCAACUAAGUUCCUGCAACGCCACGAUGUCGAAGUUGCGUAGUUCGUCGUAGAUUAUCCUGUCACAUCUUGCGAAACCUAGUGACUUGCAAUUCCAUGUUCCAAGUUUCCAAUCGUAGUCCUUAUUUCGUCGCGUGGGUCUUUGCCGAUUGUAUCGAGUCGUAUUUUCUCCUAUGUUAUUCGCAAUGGAGAUUUUUACGGGUGACUUAUUGGGCCUACGCGUACGACCGCCGCAGGACUCUAAUAAAAGAUAAGCGCGACAAUAAUGGUAACCUUGAAACUGGAUCUCCAACGGUGAGCUCGAUCGUCGAUGUCAGAUAGCAACUGCCGAUAGUGACAGAAAUUUGGGAGCGAAAGUGAAGGUGGGUCGGCCACACUCUACGUAGGGGUGGGAACGAAAUCUGAAAGCAAGCAUUAGAUUGGAACCCAGCAGGACAUCGGCAGAGGCAGACCCAGAGGCUCACGGCGGCGCAGCCUCAACAACGAAAUCAAGCAAGUCGACAGAAAUUUGACCUGGCCACAGGUCAAGGUGGUGGCUGGUAAUCACCCAGGAUGGAAAUCUUUCGACUUACCUGAGAACACGUUUUCUCACACAAAUGUUUUAGGAGAUAUCAAUGUGAGUGUCCCAAAAAUGCUUAAAGGUCCGAACAAAGUCCCAAUUAAGUCGUUGGACUCCCAUGCAUUAGUGCGAAAUUGUGGUGUUCAUGAAGUACUAGACCAAAAAACUAUAAUACCUUUGUAUAAUAAUACCUUGUACUCUACUACAAAUCAAAAAUCAAGUUCUCCGCUAGUUGCUAUGAGAAACAAACUACUGUUAUGCAAAUAUAAACAAGAAAAUUACCGAUUA
Long non-coding RNA from Aedes albopictus (Asian tiger mosquito), 3206 nucleotides. RefSeq lists it as uncharacterized. The record is from RefSeq and is a predicted model, not a curated record. The transcript has 2 exons. NCBI's taxonomy places the organism in Eukaryota, Metazoa, Arthropoda, Insecta, Diptera, Culicidae.